AUAGCCUUUAUGAUUGCCGCAUUUAAGAACUGCGCUAAAUUCAGAAUAAGUAUAACUAAACGAAAAGCGGGCAGAGUCCGAACUUAAAAACCAAAUCACAAAUAAUACAUUCUUUGUAAUUUCAGAAAUGUUUGAAAAACUCUAUUCCCGGUUCAAUAAAUUGCCCCAUGCCAUCAGUGAUUACGUCACACCAAAACAUUCUGUUGUUUGAGUUAGGACGGUAUCAAGUCAAAACCAAUUUUGCAAAGAAUGUUAAUAGCUCCCCGUGUCCGCGCAAUCAACAGGAAGACCGCAUCAUAGACAUGUUGCAACGUGUUCAGACAAAUGCAGACAUGUUCUAAAACCACAGGUAGCCCAAGCUCUACAAUAGUCGCUUUUCGCUGAAAUUUGAUGACAAAUGUAAAAAAAUGAGCGAGUUCGAGUCUGACAAUAUUCUCAACGAUGUAUGAUAACUGAUCAAUCAUUUAAACAUCCAUGCUAUAACUAUCAUACAAAAAAUCUAGAAAUUGGAGUUGCUGUGGUUUACACGAAUCUUCGGCCAAAUCAUUACGAUAGGCUAAAACUCAAGUAAAUGACGGAAAACAAAAAUUGAGCUAAUAGAACAAAACGGAAAUCAAGAAAUUGGGCUUCCUGUUCCGACGAGCCUUCGAACAUAGGUGACAUGCGUGCUUUUAGGGAAUUGCUAUCAAGCGGUUGGAAGCGUGGAAGUGACUCCAAGUUAAGUUUGGUCAGCAGUUGAAUUGGAUUUGAGACAGAGG
Exaiptasia diaphana is the source of this 758-nucleotide long non-coding RNA. RefSeq lists it as uncharacterized. NCBI's taxonomy places the organism in Eukaryota, Metazoa, Cnidaria, Anthozoa, Actiniaria, Aiptasiidae. The transcript is spliced from 2 exons. The record is from RefSeq and is a predicted model, not a curated record.